GGAUGCAGCUCAGUGGUAGAGUGCUUGCUUAGCGUGCAUGGGGCCCUGGGUUCCAUCCCCAUAACCA
This 67-nucleotide transfer RNA is filed under the name Marmota monax (woodchuck). RNAcentral's name for it is "tRNA.Ala". Lineage: Eukaryota; Metazoa; Chordata; Mammalia; Rodentia; Sciuridae. The record is from RNAcentral.